GUUAGUGGCAGACGGGUGAGUAAUGCAUAGGAAUCUACCUAGUAGUAUGGGAUAGCCACUAGAAAUGGUGGGUAAUACUGUAUAAUCCCUGCGGGGGAAAGAUUUAUCGCUAUUAGAUGAGCCUAUGUUAGAUUAGCUAGUUGGUAGGGUAAAGGCCUACCAAGGCAGUGAUCUAUAGCUGGUCUGAGAGGAUGAUCAGCCACACUGGAACUGAGAUACGGUCCAGACUCCUACGGGAGGCAGCAGUGGGGAAUAUUGGACAAUGGGCGCAAGCCUGAUCCAGCUAUGCCGCGUGAGUGAGGAAGGCCUUAGGGUUGUAAAACUCUUUCAGUGGGGAAGAUAAUGACGGUACCCACAGAAGAAGUCCCGGCAAACUCCGUGCCAGCAGCCGCGGUAAUACGGAGGGGGCAAGCGUUGUUCGGAAUUAUUGGGCGUAAAGGGCAUGUAGGCGGUUCG
Molecule: ribosomal RNA, 456 nt
Filed under: Anaplasma platys
Lineage: Bacteria; Pseudomonadati; Pseudomonadota; Alphaproteobacteria; Rickettsiales; Anaplasmataceae
Description: bacterial SSU rRNA
Rfam family: Bacterial small subunit ribosomal RNA
Source: RNAcentral